Molecule: non-coding RNA, 182 nt
Filed under: Pseudomonadota bacterium
Lineage: Bacteria; Pseudomonadati; Pseudomonadota
Description: Proteobacteria bacterium (cold seep metagenome) 6S RNA
Rfam family: 6S / SsrS RNA
About the family: E. coli 6S RNA was the first non coding RNA to be sequenced, but its function was unknown until recently. It consists of 184 nucleotides that fold into an extended hairpin structure with a large single-stranded internal bulge.
Source: RNAcentral
GUGCCCCUGCUGUGUUUGUGAUGGCAAGAUGGUCUAGAACCUUUAAAGAAUUUGAUCGGGAGUUGUCUCUGUCUGUAGAUGGUAUGUUCUCCUUGUGUGAAUAAUCAGAAGCAGUUACAUGACACCCACCUAGACGUUUAGGUUCAGAUUCAAUUAUGUCACACGGCACAAGCGGGGGACUU